Long non-coding RNA from Salvelinus fontinalis (brook trout), 943 nucleotides. RefSeq lists it as uncharacterized. Lineage: Eukaryota; Metazoa; Chordata; Actinopteri; Salmoniformes; Salmonidae. The transcript has 3 exons. The record is from RefSeq and is a predicted model, not a curated record.
AGCAAAAUGUUGCGUAUAAUCUUUCAAGUCAGCCUGAUAAAAUAUUGAACAAUUUGUGUACAAAGAUAUCUUGAAAUGUGAUAUUAGGCCUGUAUGGCAGUACUGUUACUGUAUGGCAGUACUGUUACUGUAUGGCAGUACUGUAUUGGCUAGUGCUUUCUCCAAUAUGUUCUUCUAUUUUACUUUCAAUUGUAUGUCGAUGCCAUUUAUCUUUCAAUAUUUAUUUAAUAUAUAUAUGUUUUAAUGCUUGUAAGACUAUUCUUUGACACAUUUUCUCUUCCUUUGAAAUUCUUAUAGGACAGAACAUGGACACAAUGCAAUUGGGAUCAAGAAGAAGGACUCGAGAGCACAGCAGUGAUUCUGCUCUUGCCCAACCUCUUCAAUGAGGACCCGAGUGGCCUUUAUGUCCGUGACAAGAUUUCACCGCUCCUCACUCCUUUACUGCACAUCGGCGGAAAUCCAUUUCACCAUGAGAGUGAAAUCCCGCUGGCCUUUGAUGGGGAGAACAUCCACGCCCUCGAGGACGUCCCCAUGGGACAUGGGGCUCUGCUAGGGCUGUAUUUUAAAAUUUAUGUUCUAAAGUUACUGUGUUCUGGGGAUAAGAGAAGUUGGGGUGAAGUUACCAGGGCCGGUCAUAAAGAUGGCAAACUUCCUAACAUAACUAAGUGGAUACGAUAUACACACUGAAGCUGAAAAAUCUGUAUUUAGCAUCAAGUCUACAAUAUUGUUAGUUUACCCAUGAUUUAUUUUUAAUGUAUGUUGUUUUUAUUGUACAUCAUUAUUUUAGAUUUUUUAAAUGUCAUGAAAAGCACUAUACAAAGUAAAUGUAUUAUUUAUUAUGGUCUGACAUGUCUGCAGAAAUGUUGCAAUUUUGUCAUGUGUUUUUUUUUUGUAAAUUGUUUUGUAAAUAUUAAUUCACAUUUGUGGCGUCACUAAAUAAACA